RNAcentral lists this ribosomal RNA (253 nucleotides) under uncultured bacterium. RNAcentral's name for it is "partial 16S ribosomal RNA". It matches the Rfam family "Bacterial small subunit ribosomal RNA", at positions 524 to 776 of the family's 1533-position model. The record is from RNAcentral.
UACGUAGGGGGCGAGCGUUGUCCGGAAUUAUUGGGCGUAAAGAGCUCGUAGGCGGUCUGUCGCGUCUGCUGUGAAAACUCAGGGCUUAACCCUGAGCUUGCAGUGGGUACGGGCAGACUAGAGUGCGGUAGGGGAGACUGGAAUUCCUGGUGUAGCGGUGAAAUGCGCAGAUAUCAGGAGGAACACCGGUGGCGAAGGCGGGUCUCUGGGCCGUAACUGACGCUGAGGAGCGAAAGCAUGGGGAGCGAACAGG